AUGCACAUUCUAUCAACCUUUCAUCGUGGUCAGCUUCCUGUGGGGUUUAUCCCCCACCCCCACCCCCACUCCCACCCUCUCCGGAAAGUUUGCGGCUGUUCACACCGACUUUCAAAGGUCCAUUGUUUGCUCCCCCGUAAACGUAAUGAAAAGAGAGACGGAAAGAAAGAAAAUCUAGACGUGGUUCCCAGACCCUUUCUUACGGAGAGGAUUUACUCCGGGGGAGUCCGGUUACUCCCGAACCCGAGAGGAGGGAGCCCGGGAGAGGCGGUGCGAGGGGGGAGGGCGGGAGGGUGCUUCGGGGGGCGGGAGGAUGUUUUCCAUUUCGGCAGCAGCAGAUGCCUAAAUGCCAGGCCGCCGGGAGCCGCGGUGGUGCGCGGGGCCGCCGUCGGCGACCUCGCGGUGGCCCCAGCAGGCAGCUGGGGAGGCGGGGCGGGGGGCGGGGGACCCUUUGCUUCUUACCUUCCCCUCCCCCGCUUAGCGUCGGCUACUUCAGGUGCCUACACCGCGGUCCAAAGAGACGGAGCCGAGCUCCUAGCGUCCCCGGGUCCGGAUCUUCUCUCCAUGGCCAGAGAGCCCGGGGAGCCCCGCGCCCGCGCCCGCCGCCACCGCUGCUUUUAUGCAACUGGCAGCCGCAGCCUCAGCCUGGAGGUGAAACACUCUCCUCCCGGGAAUGACGCGCACUUCCCUCCGCCUCCGCCUCCUCCUCCUCCAGCCCCGACACUCGGGGGCAGGGGCCUCGGCUCGCUCGCUCGCUCCCGGAGCAGCCGCUCGGCUUCCUCCGCUCCUUCUCCGCGGGGAGGAAGAGAAGCUCGGCCCUGGCGGCGCGGGCCGGCGGGUCCCCGCGACGACGGGAGGAGGCGGCAGCGCGGGGCAGAGCGGGGUCCCGGGAGUCGCGCUUGUCCCUGGUCGGCGGGCGCCGCGGCUCGCGAGGGUCGCGCUCAGCCUCCGCCGGCCAGACAAGCCGCCCGGCUCUGCUGGGCCGAGGGCUGCGGAUUGGGCGGGCGGGCGGGCGGACGGGACGCAGGAGGCGGGGGCAGAGGAGGGGCCUGCGGCCGGAGGAGGCGGUGGCCGCGCUGGGCUCCUCCCGCCGCCCGGCUCCGCGGGAGCUCGGGACCCGGCGCUGAGCGCGUCCGGCCGCGGCUGCAAGCUCCUGCUGGGCUCGGCGGACACUGA
This 1176-nucleotide long non-coding RNA is filed under the name Felis catus (domestic cat). RNAcentral describes it as "lncRNA (ENSFCAG00000047064.1)". Lineage: Eukaryota; Metazoa; Chordata; Mammalia; Carnivora; Felidae. The record is from RNAcentral.